GCUGGGUGCGGUGGUGCACACCUAUAAUCCUACCGCUCAGGAGGCUGAGGCAGGAGGAUCACAAGUUGGAGGCCAGCCUCAGCAAGUUAGCAAGGCCCUCAGCAACUUUAGUGAGACCCUGGAUCUA
RNAcentral lists this small RNA (127 nucleotides) under Marmota monax (woodchuck). Lineage: Eukaryota; Metazoa; Chordata; Mammalia; Rodentia; Sciuridae. The record is from RNAcentral.